CCCCCACCAUCUGUUUGCCGCCUCCAUCGCCCUCAUCCACCAGAGCCCGAGCGCUCCGCCGGUGCCGCUGCCACGCCGGCCCUCCACCGGAGCGCCGAAAAGCCCUCGUCGUCCCCCUCCACUCCCGUCCACCUUAGUCAUCAAGGUCCGGCGCCGACGAACCACGCGGCCCCUGGCGCUUCAUUUCCCCUCGCCGGCCCCUUCGCUUUCCCCCGCCGGACACCUCACUGCCCCACGCCGGGAUUCUCGGUGAUCUCCCCAACGGCCGCCUGCCCUCGUUUUGCAUGGAGUCGCCGACCUUCGUCUGAUUUGGAAUCGGAGUCGUUGCCACCUCUCCAUUUUUAUUCAGAUUGGUACUGUAAGCGGAGAUCAGUUGAUGUUGAGAAUCUCCGCGAGGAGAAGAAAUGA
This 408-nucleotide long non-coding RNA is filed under the name Oryza sativa tropical japonica subgroup. RNAcentral describes it as "lncRNA OsKeNa_12g0016730". Lineage: Eukaryota; Viridiplantae; Streptophyta; Magnoliopsida; Poales; Poaceae. The record is from RNAcentral. RNAcentral also lists the same sequence under 1 other name.